Bacillus rossius redtenbacheri is the source of this 572-nucleotide long non-coding RNA. RefSeq lists it as uncharacterized. The record is from RefSeq and is a predicted model, not a curated record. NCBI's taxonomy places the organism in Eukaryota, Metazoa, Arthropoda, Insecta, Phasmatodea, Bacillidae. The transcript is spliced from 2 exons.
GAUAUUGAGGUUGUUACAAUAUGCUUUAAAAGUAAUUACAAUAGAAAAUAGACUAAUUUCUGGAGUAGAGCGGUAUUUAAAGUUCAUCUCCUCUACUUAUUUAUAUUAAGUAAACACAGAAAAAAAAUGCGACAGGUUCAGAAAUUAAGGUCCCUGUCAUUAUUGCAGCAAGCUGCUUUCAAGCACAGUAGACAUGCAUAAAAAAAAUCCCAUGUUACCCGAAGCGAAAUAUUCAAGCGUGGAGAAAUGUCUUUGUGGUUCGUAGGAUUCCAGAUAUUUACAGCCAUCGAGAUACUGACUGGAAGAAUCUCAAAUUUAAGAUUGGAGAUGGUGCGGCGUGCCAGCUUCAACCUCCGCAAGGCCUCUCGCAGCUGCGACGCAGCAGUGGUGCCACUCCCUCCUGAACGCCUCGCAUCCGGAACUGCGCGUGGCUCUGAAAUCAACCAAUCAAACUGUCACCAAGCUUACUGACACCCUGUACGUGUGUUACAUGAUAUGUCAGAGGGCAGCUCACAUCAUCAUCAUUGCUGGAAUGUACUUUUUCCAAUAAAUUGUUUAUCAGUGGUCAAAAA